RNAcentral lists this ribosomal RNA (1026 nucleotides) under uncultured bacterium. RNAcentral's name for it is "bacterial SSU rRNA". It matches the Rfam family "Bacterial small subunit ribosomal RNA", at positions 353 to 1371 of the family's 1533-position model. The record is from RNAcentral.
AGUCGAGAAUCAUUCACAAUGGGGGAAACCCUGAUGGUGCAACGCCGCGUGGAGGAUGACGGUCUUCGGAUUGUAAACUCCUGUCAUCUGGGAGUAAGACCUGACGGUUAAUAGCCGGCAGGGUUGAUAGUACCAGAAGAGGAAGGGACGGCUAACUUCGUGCCAGCAGCCGCGGUAAUACGAAGGUCCCAAGCGUUGUUCGGAAUCACUGGGCGUAAAGGGUGCGUAGGCGGCGUGGUAAGUCAGAUGUGAAAUCCCGGGGCUCAACCUCGGAACUGCAUCCGAUACUACCACGCUAGAGGACCGGAGAGGAGACUGGAAUUCUCGGUGUAGCAGUGAAAUGCGUAGAGAUCGAGAGGAACACUCGUGGCGAAGGCGAGUCUCUGGACGGUUCCUGACGCUGAGGCACGAAGGCUAGGGUAGCGAAAGGGAUUAGAUACCCCUGUAGUCCUAGCAGUAAACGGUGCGCGCUUGGUGUGGGAGGAUUCGACCCCUUCUGUGCCGGAGCUAACGCGUUAAGCGCGCCGCCUGGGGAGUACGGCCGCAAGGCUAAAACUCAAAGAAAUUGACGGGGACCCGCACAAGCGGUGGAGUAUGUGGCUUAAUUCGAUGCAACGCGAAGAACCUUACCUAGGCUUGACAUGCAUCUCUAAGCACGUGAAAGCGUGUGACCCUUCGGGGAAUUUGCACAGGUGCUGCAUGGCCGUCGUCAGCUCGUGUCGUGAGAUGUUGGGUUAAGUCCCGCAACGAGCGCAACCCCUGUGAAUAGUUGCCAGCGCGUAAUGGCGGGGACUCUAUUCAGACUGCCCAGAUCAACUGGGAGGAAGGUGGGGACGACGUCAGGUCAGUAUGGCCCUUACGCCUAGGGCUGCACACGUACUACAAUGCCCAGUACAAUGAGAACCAAUGCCGCGAGGCGGAGGAAAUCUGUAAAACUGGGCCCAGUUCGGAUUGGAGGCUGCAACUCGCCUCCAUGAAGUCGGAAUCGCUAGUAAUGGCACAUCAGCAACGGUGCCGUGAAUACGU